GUGGGGAAUCUUCCGCAAUGGGCGAAAGCCUGACGGAGCAACGCCGCGUGAACGAGGAAGGUCUUCGGAUCGUAAAGUUCUGUUGCAGGGGACGAACGGCACUAUAGCCAAUAAGUAUAGUGAAUGACGGUACCCUGUUAGAAAGCCACGGCUAAUUACGUGCCAGCAGCCGCGGUAAUACGUAGGCGGCAAGCGUUGUCCGGAAUCAUUGGGCGUAAAGGGAGCGCAGGCGGAACAUUAAGCGGAUCUUAAAAGUGCGGGGCUCAACCCCGUGAUGGGGUCCGAACUGAGGUUCUUGAGUGCAGGAGAGGAAAGCGGAAUUCCCAGUGUAGCGGUGAAAUGCGUAGAUAUUGGGAAGAACACCAGUGGCGAAGGCGGCUUUCUGGACUGUAACUGACGCUGAGGCUCGAAAGCCAGGGUAGCGAACGGGAUUAGAUACCCCAGUAGUCC
This 450-nucleotide ribosomal RNA is filed under the name uncultured bacterium. RNAcentral's name for it is "partial 16S ribosomal RNA". It matches the Rfam family "Bacterial small subunit ribosomal RNA", at positions 354 to 796 of the family's 1533-position model. The record is from RNAcentral.